Molecule: long non-coding RNA, 389 nt
Filed under: Phaseolus vulgaris (common bean)
Lineage: Eukaryota; Viridiplantae; Streptophyta; Magnoliopsida; Fabales; Fabaceae
Description: long non-coding RNA (PVUL_LNC002957)
Source: RNAcentral
UUGUCUAUACUCUGAAAGUUGCUUACACACAAAUCAUGAAGAUUUCUUUGGUUCUCGGUAAAACCAUCAAGCCUAUUUACCAUGUAUCUUUCAAAAGAAGACAUGGAUGGCAUUUCAUCUCCUUGAUUUCUUGCACUGGUUCCAGCACCUAGAUUGGUUUCAGGUUGCUUUUCAUGGUGAAAAUCCAUGUCAACAACUUGAUCUUCCUCAUCAAAAUCCGUAGUUGCAGCACUAGAUGAAGCACCAUGAUCACCAUCUUUGCUCACCCAUUUCCCACUUAUUUUAGUGAAUCCCAUCUUGCUAAGAAAGCCAUUGUUCAUCUCUUGUGUUGACUUGACCAGCUCAGAUGUCUCAUCCUUAAGAUUCACUUCAAAAUAGAGCAAGAACUU